UGAUCCUGGCUCAGAGCGAACGCUGGCGGCAGGCCUAACACAUGCAAGUCGAACGGACCCUUCGGGGUUAGUGGCGGACGGGUGAGUAACACGUGGGAACGUGCCUUUAGGUUCGGAAUAGCUCCUGGAAACGGGUGGUAAUGCCGAAUGUGCCCUUCGGGGGAAAGAUUUAUCGCCUUUAGAGCGGCCCGCGUCUGAUUAGCUAGUUGGUGAGGUAAUGGCUCACCAAGGCGACGAUCAGUAGCUGGUCUGAGAGGAUGACCAGCCACACUGGGACUGAGACACGGCCCAGACUCCUACGGGAGGCAGCAGUGGGGAAUCUUGCGCAAUGGGCGAGAGCCUGACGCAGCCAUGCCGCGUGAAUGAUGAAGGUCUUAGGAUUGUAAAAUUCUUUCACCGGGGACGAUAAUGACGGUACCCGGAGAAGAAGCCCCGGCUAACUUCGUGCCAGCAGCCGCGGUAAUACGAAGGGGGCUAGCGUUGCUCGGAAUUACUGGGCGUAAAGGGCGCGUAGGCGGAUCGUUAAGUCAGAGGUGAAAUCCCGGAGCUCAACUUCGGAACUGCCUUUGAUACUGGCGAUC
This 581-nucleotide ribosomal RNA is filed under the name uncultured bacterium. Its description in RNAcentral is "bacterial SSU rRNA". It matches the Rfam family "Bacterial small subunit ribosomal RNA", at positions 14 to 641 of the family's 1533-position model. The record is from RNAcentral.